GGUGGCGUAGCCGAGUGGCUCAGGCAAGGGUCUGCAAAACCCUCGACGUGGGUUCGAUUCCCACCGCCACCU
This 72-nucleotide transfer RNA is filed under the name Actinomycetota bacterium. Its description in RNAcentral is "Actinobacteria bacterium (freshwater metagenome) tRNA-Cys". It matches the Rfam family "tRNA". Rfam says of the family: Transfer RNA (tRNA) molecules are approximately 80 nucleotides in length. Their secondary structure includes four short double-helical elements and three loops (D, anti-codon, and T loops). Lineage: Bacteria; Bacillati; Actinomycetota. The record is from RNAcentral.